CAUAGAGUGUGUGUGUGUGUCGAUGAGCAGGAAGGAAGAAAAGGGUUCAAACCCUAGUUUCUUCAAAAUCUUCAAAUUAAAAGGGAAAUCGAAGGCUAGUUGACUGCAUAAACUAAGAAUGGUGAUCAUCUAAGCAUUUCCUACAUCAACAUUAGGGAUCAUGUGGACAUGGACUCAAGCACGAAAGACUAACGGGUCAAGAUGAGGCAAGCAAGCGGGUAUGAACACGGAUGCACAAGGUUGUGCGGGUCACGGAGGAUCAUCGAGGAAUAAAGAUCGAAGAACGAGUCACAUAAGGGAUUGUACGGGGUUGUCUAAGGAUGCAAAUUGUUGUACAUAAGCUAUGAUUUAUUCUAUAAUUGAGUCAGUUUG
Molecule: long non-coding RNA, 372 nt
Organism: Helianthus annuus (common sunflower)
Lineage: Eukaryota; Viridiplantae; Streptophyta; Magnoliopsida; Asterales; Asteraceae
Exons: 3
Source: RefSeq, a predicted model, not a curated record